Molecule: long non-coding RNA, 300 nt
Filed under: Vigna radiata
Lineage: Eukaryota; Viridiplantae; Streptophyta; Magnoliopsida; Fabales; Fabaceae
Description: long non-coding RNA (VRAD_LNC000430)
Source: RNAcentral
AGGGGGUAAUUUUUGAAGAGUAUAACGCAGCGGAAUAAAACUUAUAGAAAGCAGAAAGCGUGUUCGGUCACAGUUAAAACGAAAUUGGUCCUUUUUCGCAAAAAUAAUUUUCUUUCAGAAAAUUAAUCAAACAGUUAAUAUGCGUAAAAUAAAAUGAGUGUAGGGAAUAGAAAAAUCACACAAAUGAUUUUUAUACUGGUUCGAGUCAAAAGAUUCUACGUCCAGUUGUUAAUCACUAUAAAAAGUGAUUAACUAUUUUCACUAAAAAUACAGUUGUACAAAUUACAAGAUAAUGAAAUG